RNAcentral lists this ribosomal RNA (279 nucleotides) under uncultured bacterium. RNAcentral's name for it is "partial 16S ribosomal RNA". It matches the Rfam family "Bacterial small subunit ribosomal RNA", at positions 506 to 784 of the family's 1533-position model. The record is from RNAcentral.
UGCCAGCCGCCGCGGUAAUACGGAGGGUGCAAGCGUUAAUCGGAAUUACUGGGCGUAAAGCGCGCGUAGGUGGAUUGGUCAGUCAGAUGUGAAAGCCCCGGGCUCAACCUGGGAACUGCACCUGAUACUGCCAGUCUUGAGUACAGUAGAGGGUAGUGGAAUUCCUAGUGUAGCGGUGAAAUGCGUAGAUAUUAGGAGGAACACCAGUGGCGAAGGCGACUACCUGGACCGAUACUGACGCUGAAGCGCGAAAGCAUGGGGAGCAAACAGGAUUAGAUA